GACGAACGCUGGCUGCGUGCUUAACACAUGCAAGUCGAACGCUGAAGCUCAGCUUUUGUUGGGUGGAUGAGUCGCGAACGGGUGAGUAACACGUGAGUAACCUGCCCCCUUCUUUGGGAUAACGCCCGGAAACGGGUGCUAAUACUGGAUAUUCACUGGUCUUCGCAUGGGGGUUGGUGGAAAGGGUUUUUCUGGUGGGGGAUGGGCUCGCGGCCUAUCAGCUUGUUGGUGGGGUGAUGGCCUACCAAGGCUUUGACGGGUAGCCGGCCUGAGAGGGUGACCGGUCACAUUGGGACUGAGAUACGGCCCAGACUCCUACGGGAGGCAGCAGUGGGGAAUAUUGCACAAUGGGCGCAAGCCUGAUGCAGCGACGCCGCGUGAGGGAUGGAGGCCUUCGGGUUGUGAACCUCUUUCGCUCAUGGUCAAGCCGCAACAAUGGUUGUGGUGAGGGUAGUGGGUAAAGAAGCGCCGGCUAACUACGUG
Molecule: ribosomal RNA, 483 nt
Filed under: uncultured bacterium
Lineage: Bacteria
Description: partial 16S ribosomal RNA
Rfam family: Bacterial small subunit ribosomal RNA
Source: RNAcentral